GACGAACGCUGGCGGCGUGCUUAACACAUGCAAGUCGAACGGUGAAGCGCCUUCCUUUUUGGUGGGUGUGGAUGAGUGGCGAACGGGUGAGUAACACGUGAGUAACCUGCCCCCUCCUUCUGGAUAACCGCAUGAAAGUGUGGCUAAUACGGGAUAUUCUGGGUCUGUCGCAUGAUGGGUCUGGGAAAGAUAUUGUUUCGGUGGGGGAUGGGCUCGCGGCCUAUCAGCUUGUUGGUGGGGUGAUGGCCUACCAAGGCGGUGACGGGUAGCCGGCCUGAGAGGGUGGGCGGUCACACUGGGGCUGAGACGCGGCGCCGACUCCUGCAGGAGGCAGCAGUGGGGAAUAUUGCACAGUGGGCGCAAGCCUGAUGCAGCGACGCCGCGUGGGGGAUGGAGGCCUUCGGGUUGUGAACCUCUUUCGCCAGUGAAGCAGGGCUGCCUCGUUUGUGGGUGGGUUGACGGUAGCUGGAUAAGAAGCGCCGGCUAACUACGUG
RNAcentral lists this ribosomal RNA (494 nucleotides) under uncultured bacterium. RNAcentral describes it as "partial 16S ribosomal RNA". It matches the Rfam family "Bacterial small subunit ribosomal RNA", at positions 28 to 507 of the family's 1533-position model. The record is from RNAcentral.